RNAcentral lists this long non-coding RNA (2222 nucleotides) under Salmo salar (Atlantic salmon). Its description in RNAcentral is "lncRNA (ENSSSAG00000092909.1)". Lineage: Eukaryota; Metazoa; Chordata; Actinopteri; Salmoniformes; Salmonidae. The record is from RNAcentral.
AUUACUCUGACAUUUCACAUUCUUAAAAUAAAAUGGUGAUCCUAACUGACUAAGACAGGACAUUUCUACUAGGAUUAAAUGUCAGGAAUUGUGAAACUGAGUGUAAAUGUAUUUGGCUAAGGUGUAUGUAAACUUCCGACUUCAACUGUAUAUAUAAUAAUAAUAAUUAUAAUAAAAAUAAUAAUAUGGGUAAGUUUGCGUUUGAUAUGCUAAAUUACACAUUCUGUUAACAUCUGACUCCAGAGUGAUCUAUUCUAGUUUGGAUGUAGUGAACUACUUUUCCAAAGUAACUUUAGCUAAGUAAACUAUACAUUUCUUAAGGGUAGCUUUAGUGUAGUUUAACGUCUUCCAGUGUGAAGUAAUUGGUAGCUUGGUAAACUAUAUUUUCAGAGUAGCUUACCCAAAACUGAAUAGGAUGCAGACAGUUACCUUAAAUAAAUCAUAGUUAUGUGCUCUUGAUAUUGAAGCAAACUCUCACCAUAUUUGGCUGCCUUAGAUCCAGCUCCUGUAAAAUAGAGCGAUGCAAGAAACUGAAAUUAGCAUUGGCAUCAGAUGAAAUAACUUAUCCUUAAAAAAAUAAGAAUAUUUAAGUGAACUCCUUCUGUAUUUCAAACGCCAAAUGCGUAGCCAUGCAGAGUGUAGGAUGGGAGGUAGCCAGAAGGAGGGACCUGGUGGGGGGGAGGAGUGAGUGUACACAUAUCUAGCACAUUCUACACGUGUAUGAUAUGUAAGAUAUCAUGUGGAAAGAUAGGAGAAUGCCCCCACACACUGUUUAGAUGCUCUCAGAGUUUGUUGAGGACCAGAUUCAAUGUUUAUGUCAAUAUGGUCAAAAUUUUGCAACAUCAAAACAGCUAGGAGUAUUUAAAAACUUGUCAGCAAGUAUUCUCCUUUCUUUUCCUUUAUGUCUCUAACUCACCUCCUGGGUAGGCACCUCCUACUCCUAGGCCAGCCCCUGGGUACCGCCCUCCACCUGGGUAACCCCCUGGGUAUCCAUACCCACCUGAGCCAGGGACGCCCCCUGCCCCAGGUACGCCUCCUGCUCCGGCUCCGCCCCCAUAACCAGGUACGCCUCCUGCUCCGGCUCCGAAUCCAGGUAUGCCUCCUGCUCCACCUCCGUAACCAGGGACCCCACCUGCUCCAGGUACACCGCUAGGUACUCCUCCUGCUCCGGCCAUGCCCCCUUGACGAGGUACACCACCAACUCCAUAACCAGGGACCCCAUCUGCUCCAGGUACACUGCUAGGUACUCCUCCUGCUCCGGCCAUGCCCCCUUGACGAAGUACACCUCCAGCUCCAGCUGGCCAGGGACAGACAGUUCUUAUCUUUGACUCCAAACCACACUGAACCCCCAAACACCUAGGUCCCCCACACUACAAACACUUGAGUCCCCCCACAUCAAACACCUGAGCCUCUCCACACCAAACACCUGAAUCCCCCCAGACCACAAAUACCUGAGUCUCCCCACACCACAAACACCUGAGUGCCCCCUGACCACAAACAACUAAGUUUCCCUAUUCCCCAAACAUGUGAGUCUCCCCACACAACAAACACCUAGGUUCCCCACACUACAAACACUUGAGCCCCCCCACAUCACAAACACCUGAGCCUCUCCACACCAAACACCUGAAUCCCCCCAGACCACAAACACCUGAAUCAUUCAAUACCUGGGUAAUAAAACCUGUUAUGUCACCAAACGUACACUUACCAUCUUCCUAAGGACUAGUUCAUCUAGUCUUACCGUAAACCUACCAACUACCACUUUCCUAAAGGAUGAAUUAUUAAUUCAGUCUUACCAUAUUUAGCAGCAAGCUUGGCCUGGGAAUUAGCUGAUUUGCCUCCAGCCCCUAAAAAUGGAAGAGAAGAAGAGGACAAAGAGGAGGAAUGAAAUAAGCAAAGGAAGAGAAAUAGCAGGGUAAUAGAUAUGGAUUGUGGAUUGUUGUAGUAGUUUUCUAGUGUCCCAACCUGGUCUCAGAGCAUUUCAUAUUAUUCUGUACGUAAAUACGGGACACUCAAUUUAUAGUGAACAAAAUGUCAAGUGUUGGUCCCAUGUUUCAUGAGCUGAAAUAAAAUAAUCUCAGAAAUGUUUCAUUUGCACAAAAAGCUAAUUUCUCUCAAAUGUUGUGCACAAAUUUGUUUACAUCUGUUAGUGAUCCUUUGCCAAGAUUAUUCCAUCCACCUGACAGGUGUGGCACAUAAAGGAGCUGAUUAAACAGCAUGAUCAU